This 624-nucleotide ribosomal RNA is filed under the name uncultured bacterium. Its description in RNAcentral is "bacterial SSU rRNA". It matches the Rfam family "Bacterial small subunit ribosomal RNA", at positions 84 to 705 of the family's 1533-position model. The record is from RNAcentral.
GGGCCAGUCGAGCGGCGAACGGGUGAGUAACACGUGGAUCAUCUGCCCAGAGGUGGGGGAUAACCCGGGGAAACUCGGGCUAACACCGCAUAUGACCGGAAGGUCAAAGGGGGGUCGCAAGAUCUCUCGCCAUUGGAGGAGUCCGCGUCCGAUUAGCUAGUUGGUAGGGUAAUGGCCUACCAAGGCGACGAUCGGUAGCCGGCCUGAGAGGGUGAUCGGCCACACUGGAACUGAGACACGGUCCAGACUCCUACGGGAGGCAGCAGCGGGGAAUUUUGCGCAAUGGGCUAACGCCUGACGCAGCAACGCCGCGUGGAGGAUGAAGGUCUUUGGAUUGUAAACUCCUGUCAGCAGGGAAAAAGCGACUUAGCCUCAUACGCUAGGGAGUUGAUUGUACCUGCAGAGGAAGCCCCGGCUAACUCUGUGCCAGCAGCCGCGGUAAUACAGAGGGGGCAAGCGUUAUUCGGAAUUAUUGGGCGUAAAGGGCGCGUAGGCGGCCUGGCAAGUGGAAGGUGAAAUCCCUCGGCUUAACCGAGGAACUGCCUUCCAGACUGCUUGGCUUGAGACCAGGAGAGGUGAGUGGAAUUCCCAGUGUAGCGGUGAAAUGCGUAGAUAUUGGGAGGA